RNAcentral lists this unclassified non-coding RNA (1549 nucleotides) under Hermetia illucens (black soldier fly). RNAcentral describes it as "uncharacterized LOC119650911, transcript variant X1". The record is from RNAcentral. Lineage: Eukaryota; Metazoa; Arthropoda; Insecta; Diptera; Stratiomyidae.
UCAUAUUAAUAAUAAGCAACCUACUCUGAUGUCAAUAAUUUAUAGCAUUAACAUGUAGUCAAAAGGAACCUGGAACGAACCCUAAUUCUAGAAGAGUAAGCACCAAAUUUGAAUUUCUUCAUGUGUAUUAAUAAACAUUAACCUUAUGUGGAACCUUUCUAAAAGUUGUUCUGUUUAUAUUUCUUCAACUUACAAACCGCAUGGAAUUAGAACUAACAUGUAGCGUUUCCUACUUCCAACAUACUAACCACCUCUUCUUUUUUUCCCUUAUAUUUCUAGGACGAUUCUCAAAACCGGUGGAGUUGCAUAUGAGUAGUUUCUAUUCAAAUACGAUAAAUAUCAAUAAAAAUGAUAUUGCAUUUUAUCAGCAUUCACCAAAUACAAAGUACUUAAUAGUUAAGAACCACAUAUUCCAUAAAAAUAGUUCAUCAAAUAACAACACAUAUUGGCGAUGUCGAUAUUUCCGUCGUAUGCAUUGUCACGCUCGAGCGGUAUCAAAACCCAAUGCAGUAAUAUUAACAUGUCCUGUUCAUAAUCAUGCACCAAUGUAUCAGGAACGUGAGAUUGUCUUGCAGAAUAAACUGAAAAAAAUGGAUAAUAGUAAGGUGAAUGGUGAUGAUGGUGCCGAUGGUGAUAAUAGCGGUGGUACGGUGAAUGGUAACAAUACUACUGGGAGUAAAGUCAAUAAUCGUAGGAAGCGUUAACUUUAACAACUGAUUUUUUAAGUGCUUGAUUAAACACUUAGGUAUAUACAUAGUAUAUUAAAUAAUCAUAUUCUGCAAAAAAUCCUUCUUUGUAUGUAUGCAUGGCUGAAUCUAAGUACACAUGCGAUAUUUUACAAACGUAUCUAAGAUUUGAAGAUGAUCAACUAAUUUAAGAGAAACCCAAUAAUAAAACGAUAGAUGAAAAUUGUUAAAAUUAAUAAUUUUUAUUUCCCUAGUGUUAAGUGAUUAAAAUUUAAUUUUGCUUUGAAUAUUAUUUAUUUAAAUUAUUUGUGUUUGCGUGAAAACGGUAUCUGACUCUUUGCCAAUCUUUCAUGUAUUUAGAACUUAACAAAAAUCCAAAUGUAAUAUUAGUAUAAGAUGUAAUGGUUUUCCUGUUGAAAUCAAAGGUUGAUUUUAAUUUUAUAAAAUUAAGAAUUAAUAAAUUGUAUGUUGGGCUGCUGAAAACACCUUGCUCGGAUAUUUCGUCGCUACUAUGCUAAAAUAUCUAAGAUGCUGUGAAACUGUAGCAUAAUGGGUAGCAUCGCUACUUAUACUUCAGUUUUCACCAAAACUUUCAGGAAAGUGAGAAUUCAUAAUCAAUAUUUCAGAGCGCUGCUAACGAUAAAGCCAUUUGUCUUUUCUUAAGGUUCGGCUUAUUUAUUGUCAAAAAUGUAAAUUAUAUUCCUUUUUAUUCCAGAAUUCCAGUCAGUAUAGCAAUUUUUUCUGUGUUCUUUUCCUUCUAUGGCGCUACAAUUCGAUGUCGUGCCUUGACCAAUUUAUGUUGUCCACUGAGUCCUCCCAUCUAUUUCCAGAUUUUCCAGGUGGUCGUUGAUUUUUUACUCUCG